Molecule: long non-coding RNA, 346 nt
Filed under: Sarcophilus harrisii (Tasmanian devil)
Lineage: Eukaryota; Metazoa; Chordata; Mammalia; Dasyuromorphia; Dasyuridae
Description: lncRNA (ENSSHAG00000022201.1)
Source: RNAcentral
UUGUAUUCCAUCAGUACUUGGCACAGAGUGUUAGCUAUAAGGUGUGCCCAUUACUCUGAGCCGUAAUACCUGGUGAAGGCUGAUGCUGCCGUAAAUUUCCUCCCAGAUUCCAUCACAAGUGUCCUGGUCCGAACCCUGGGGCUUUACACAGGAAAGAAGGGCUGAAGCUGGCUCCAGGACUGCUGCCGCAUGAGCCUGCAGAGCCUCCAUCACUCGCAGCGGGUUGGAAACCUCAGUGGCAAUACAGAAGAGGACAAAUAAUCAGGAAAAGCAUCAUGCAUUUUCUCAAUAGUGUGAUGGGAGAUGUUUCAAGCUCUUUUAAUAGGAUUUGUUUUCUUCACAUAAG